RNAcentral lists this ribosomal RNA (698 nucleotides) under uncultured Lactobacillus sp. RNAcentral's name for it is "bacterial SSU rRNA". It matches the Rfam family "Bacterial small subunit ribosomal RNA", at positions 801 to 1502 of the family's 1533-position model. Lineage: Bacteria; Bacillati; Bacillota; Bacilli; Lactobacillales; Lactobacillaceae. The record is from RNAcentral.
CGUAAACGAUGAAUGCUAAGUGUUGGAGGGUUCCGCCCUUCAGUGCUGCAGCUAACGCAUUAAGCAUUCCGCUGGGGAGUACGGCCGCAAGGCUGAAACUCAAAGGAAUUGACGGGGGCCCGCACAGCGGUGGAGCAUGUGGUUUAAUUCGAAGCUACGCGAAGAACCUUACCAGGUCUUGACAUACUAUGCAAAUCUAAGAGAUUAGACGUUCCCUUCGGGGACAUGGAUACAGGUGGUGCAUGGUUGUCGUCAGCUCGUGUCGUGAGAUGUUGGGUUAAGUCCCGCAACGAGCGCAACCCUUAUUAUCAGUUGCCAGCAUUAAGUUGGGCACUCUGGUGAGACUGCCGGUGACAAACCGGAGGAAGGUGGGGAUGACGUCAAAUCAUCAUGCCCCUUAUGACCUGGGCUACACACGUGCUACAAUGGAUGGUACAACGAGUUGCGAACUCGCGAGAGUAAGCUAAUCUCUUAAAGCCAUUCUCAGUUCGGAUUGUAGGCUGCAACUCGCCUACAUGAAGUCGGAAUCGCUAGUAAUCGCGGAUCAGCAUGCCGCGGUGAAUACGUUCCCGGGCCUUGUACACACCGCCCGUCACACCAUGAGAGUUUGUAACACCCAAAGUCGGUGGGGUAACCUUUAGGAACCAGCCGCCUAAGGUGGGACAGAUGAUUAGGGUGAAGUCGUAACAAGGUAACCA